UAGACCCCACAGAAGAAAUUCAUAACAUAACAUACCCUUCGGGUUUAGUGUAGGCUAACUAACUUAACACCGAGUUACUGAACCUGCAUUCCACAUGUUUCGUGAGACCAAACAAGGACAGAUACAACUAGGAGAGAAAAUGGAAUAACAUGCAAUGCAAUGUCUCUGCAGUCCUUCUAUGAGUUCCUCCUCUUCAUGGUCCACCUUUCAGUUGAUCUUCCAGAGAAGGAUCUGGCCUAACACAAACCACUUGGGAUGGAUUCAUUUGGUUUCAUUUGCACAAACUAAAAUAAAAAAUAUUAAUUUAA
This is a long non-coding RNA of Carassius auratus (goldfish), 308 nucleotides long. RefSeq lists it as uncharacterized. Lineage: Eukaryota; Metazoa; Chordata; Actinopteri; Cypriniformes; Cyprinidae. The transcript is spliced from 2 exons. The record is from RefSeq and is a predicted model, not a curated record.